AGCAGAAGAACUUUUGCACUGCAGUUCUCUUCUAGAGCCAUAUCUGGAACAUAGAGAUGAAUGCCCCAAUGAUGAGAAGACCAUUUUGCAGAUGGAAGGUGACUCUCUAGCCCUGGUGCUCUUGGAUGCCUUUACAGAAGACAGAUGUUUUACAUCUAUCAAUACAUUUCAGUUCUUAUUUGACAGCCUUGCUUGAAAUAUAUUUGCAAUUGCAUUGAGCAAAGGGAAACAGAGGACAACAUCAAAUGCC
Alligator mississippiensis (American alligator) is the source of this 250-nucleotide long non-coding RNA. RefSeq lists it as uncharacterized. The record is from RefSeq and is a predicted model, not a curated record. Lineage: Eukaryota; Metazoa; Chordata; Crocodylia; Alligatoridae. The transcript has 3 exons.